Molecule: long non-coding RNA, 589 nt
Organism: Vicugna pacos (alpaca)
Lineage: Eukaryota; Metazoa; Chordata; Mammalia; Artiodactyla; Camelidae
Source: RefSeq, a predicted model, not a curated record
AUUGCUACGACUUUACUAAAUAUAGCUCAUUAUUUUUUUUCUUUAAAAGGUGCCAAUUUACAUACCCACUAGCAGUAAGAGUCACCACUGCUCUAAACCCUCACAAUCAGUUCCAGAUUAAAAAUUUUUUUUGUCAGUCUUGUGGGUGGGGAACACUAUCUCAUCAUUUUAACUUUCAAUUGAUUACCAAAGCAAUUAAGCAGUAAGAAAAGCAUUUGGGGCAUUUAGAUUUCCUCUUGUGAAUUGCUUAUGUAUAUCUUUUGGCUCCCCCAUCCCUUUUUUCUACUGAAAUCUAUCCCUAUCUUACUGAACUGUGGGAAUUUUUCAUUCUGGAAUAACAAUUCUCAAAGUAUGGCCCAAGGACCAGGGGAGACUGACAUUCCUUCGGUGUACGAGGUGUGUGUGAGGACCUCCCCUUUUAACUAUACAUCUGGCACAUGAGGCUUUAAAUUCCCUUCAAGUACUCCUGUGCUGCACCCGCAUUGAGAUGUUGAUUUUCUAGUUCUUGGAUAAUCACCGCUCUGGAACGGACCUGUAUUCCACCGAAGCCUAGGUCCUCCCCAUUCACACAGGUCAGCUGACACAGGCU